This 681-nucleotide long non-coding RNA is filed under the name Oncorhynchus mykiss (rainbow trout). RNAcentral's name for it is "lncRNA (ENSOMYG00000056110.1)". Lineage: Eukaryota; Metazoa; Chordata; Actinopteri; Salmoniformes; Salmonidae. The record is from RNAcentral.
CAUUGUACAGGUCAUAACAUUGUACAGUCAUAUCAUUGUACAGUCAUAUCAUUGUACAGUCAUAUCAUUGUACAGUCAUAUCAUUGUACAGUCAUAUCAUUGUACAGUCAUAUCAUUGUACAGUCAUAUCAUUGUACAGGUCAUAACAUUGUACAGGUCAUAUCAUUGUACAGUCAUAUCAUUGUACAGUCAUAUCAUUGUACAGUCAUAUCAUUGUACAGUCAUAUCAUUGUACAGUCACAUCAUUGUACAGUCAUAUCAUUGUACAGUCAUAUCAUUGUACAGGUCAUAACAUUGUACAGUCAUAACAUUGUACAGUCAACAUUGUACAGUCAUAACAUUGUACAGGUCAUAACAUUGUACAGGUCAUAACAUUGUACAGUCAUAACAUUGUACAGUAUGCCUUGAACACACUGAAGAAAACAAAACCAUUAUUAGUACUGUGUUGUCCUGUGCCAAUAGAAUAUAAAGUACUUCUUGUUUUGCAAAAGCACACAAGUCCAAACUCCACACCACUAACAUCAGUAUGUGCCCUGGGGCUGGUCUAGCAGAUAGGUCUGUGGCCUGCAGCACACAUCUCCCUCCCAGUGUGGGUUGGGGCUGGUCUAGCAGAUACGUCUGUGGCCUGCAGCACACAUCUCCCUCCCUGUGUGGGUUGGGGCUGGUCUAGCAGAUACGUCU